UUACAAUGUAGAGUUUGAUCCUGGCUCAGGAUGAACGCUAGCUACAGGCUUAACACAUGCAAGUCGAGGGGCAGCAUUGAGAUAGCUUGCUAUUUCAGAUGGCGACCGGCGCACGGGUGAGUAACGCGUAUCCAACCUU
This 139-nucleotide ribosomal RNA is filed under the name Prevotellaceae bacterium MN60. Its description in RNAcentral is "16S rRNA. Bacterial SSU". It matches the Rfam family "Bacterial small subunit ribosomal RNA", at positions 1 to 128 of the family's 1533-position model. The record is from RNAcentral. Lineage: Bacteria; Pseudomonadati; Bacteroidota; Bacteroidia; Bacteroidales; Prevotellaceae.